AGCUCCAAUAGCGUAUAUUAAAGUUGCUGCAGUUAAAAAGCUCGUAGUUGCAUUUCCGAGGCAAGGGCUUAGUCCGACCUUUGGUGGGUAUUUAAUCCUCUUGCCUCGUCCUUGAGUGGUGCUUCUUGGUAUUAAGUUAUCGAGGAGAUAGCCGCUCAUCGUUUACUGUGAGAAAAUUAGAGUGUUCAAAGCAGGCUUAUGCCGUUGAAUAUAUUAGCAUGGAAUAAUAAGAUAGGACCUCGGUACUAUUUGGUUGGUUUGAGAACCAAGGUAAUGAUGAAUAGGGACAGUUGGGGGUAUUCGUAUUCAGUUGUCAGAGGUGAAAUUCUUAGAUUUACGGAAGACGAACUACUGCGAAAGCAUUUACCAAGGAUGUUUUCA
Molecule: ribosomal RNA, 381 nt
Filed under: uncultured marine Chaetocerotaceae
Lineage: Eukaryota; Bacillariophyta; Thalassiosirophyceae; Chaetocerotales; Chaetocerotaceae
Description: SSU rRNA
Rfam family: Eukaryotic small subunit ribosomal RNA
Source: RNAcentral